Molecule: long non-coding RNA, 836 nt
Organism: Ostrinia furnacalis (Asian corn borer)
Lineage: Eukaryota; Metazoa; Arthropoda; Insecta; Lepidoptera; Crambidae
Exons: 2
Source: RefSeq, a predicted model, not a curated record
CGUGCGCAACCGCAAUUUGAUUAUUUUCGGGAAUGUAAUUCCUUUUAUUUCAAAUCGGGUGGUGCAAAAUGCAUCCACGAUAAUUUCUUGAUGAAUAAAUAAAAAUAACACACAUGAGAAAUUCCCUAAAUCCUGUUCGGUUGAGGGUAUUGGGAUGCUGAAGACUGUGAGUGAAGCUCAGAUUAGCGAACGGUCUUCAUGCUGGGAUUUCAAAUUUCGUAUUUUACAAUUUCAUAGAUUUCAUAUUUCACAAUAUCUUAUAGUUCAAACAUUUCAUAAUUUCAUAUUUCACAAUAUCUUAUAGUUCAAACAUUUCAUAGAUUUCAUAUUUUACAUUUUGAUAUUUCAUAUAUUUUAAUUUCUCUUCAUUUCGUAUCAAAUAUUUGUCCUUUCUAAAAUGCUGAUCUCUUCGCAUUUCCUCCUUGUCAUCAAACCUCUGUCUCUGCAAGAGUUUGAACGCUUACCUGUCAAAGGGAUGCAAGAGUUUCAUCUGGCACUGCACGCUUGAGGCCGUGGAGGACGCUGCUUGUAACCUAAAAGUGUGCGAGACCCGUUGGACCCCGGAAGAAGAGAGGAACGUUCAGGGUAACGGCUUAUAACCGCAUGGCUUCCAAGGUACCCACUUUUCCAUCCUUCAAGUAGGAGUCUUUCCGACCUGACAUCGUGCAGUUAUCUUAACUAUUAGAGUCUUUUAAUAUUUAGGCUGAGUUUUAAGAAAUUUGUAGUGGCAAUAAUAUUCACCAAACCGAACCUAAUUAACGACCCUGAAUCCCUUGAGAUUGGCACUAUUACAGUAGUUAUUAUAAUAUAGUAAUUGUUAACUUUACACGAGCAUA